RNAcentral lists this ribosomal RNA (506 nucleotides) under uncultured bacterium. RNAcentral's name for it is "bacterial SSU rRNA". It matches the Rfam family "Bacterial small subunit ribosomal RNA", at positions 26 to 507 of the family's 1533-position model. The record is from RNAcentral.
GGCUACGAGGACGAACGGCUGGCGGCGUGCCUAAUACAUGCAAGUCGAACGAACGGAUAAAGAGCUUGCUCUUUGAAGUUAGUGGCGGACGGGUGAGUAACACGUGGGUAACCUGCCUCACAGCUGGGGAUAACAUCGAGAAAUCGAUGCUAAUACCGAAUGUGCUGAACAUCAUAAGAUGUUCAAGUGAAAGACGGUUUCGGCUGUCACUGUGAGAUGGACCCGCGCUGGAUUAGCUAGUUGGUAAGGUAAUGGCUUACCAAGGCGACGAUCCAUAGCCGACCUGAGAGGGUGAUCGGCCACAUUGGGACUGAGACACGGCCCAAACUCCUACGGGAGGCAGCAGUAGGGAAUCUUCGGCAAUGGACGAAAGUCUGACCGAGCAACGCCGCGUGAGCGAAGAAGGCCUUCGGGUCGUAAAGCUCUGUUGUUAGAGAAGAACAUGGGUGAGAGUAACUGUUCACCCCUUGACGGUAUCUAACCAGAAAGCCACGGCUAACUACGUG